Molecule: non-coding RNA, 21 nt
Organism: Caenorhabditis elegans
Lineage: Eukaryota; Metazoa; Nematoda; Chromadorea; Rhabditida; Rhabditidae
Source: Ensembl
UGUUCUCGGUUUUUGGUAGUG